UACAGAGGGUGCAAGCGUUAAUCGGAAUUACUGGGCGUAAAGCGUGCGUAGACGGUUAUGUAAGUCAGAUGUGAAAGCCCCGGGCUUAACCUGGGAAUGGCAUUUGAGACUGCAUAGCUAGGGUGCGGAAGAGGGAAGCGGAAUUUCCGGUGUAGCGGUGAAAUGCGUAGAUAUCAGGAGGAACACCGAUGGCGAAGGCAGGUCUCUGGGCUGACACUGACGCUCAUGCACGAAAGCGUGGGGAGCAAACAGG
RNAcentral lists this ribosomal RNA (253 nucleotides) under uncultured bacterium. RNAcentral's name for it is "partial 16S ribosomal RNA". It matches the Rfam family "Bacterial small subunit ribosomal RNA", at positions 524 to 776 of the family's 1533-position model. The record is from RNAcentral.